RNAcentral lists this ribosomal RNA (247 nucleotides) under uncultured bacterium. Its description in RNAcentral is "partial 16S ribosomal RNA". It matches the Rfam family "Bacterial small subunit ribosomal RNA", at positions 523 to 769 of the family's 1533-position model. The record is from RNAcentral.
AUACGGAGGGUGCAAGCGUUAUCCGGAUUCACUGGGUUUAAAGGGUGCGUAGGUGGGUAUGUAAGUCAGUGGUGAAAUCCCCGAGCUUAACUUGGGAACUGCCGUUGAUACUAUAUAUCUUGAAUGUCGUAGAGGUUAGCGGAAUAUGUCAUGUAGCGGUGAAAUGCUUAGAUAUUACACAGAACACCGAUUGCGAAGGCAGCUUACUAAACUGUCACUGACGCUGAUGCACGAAAGCGUGGGGAGC